This 108-nucleotide ribosomal RNA is filed under the name Pteropus alecto (black flying fox). Lineage: Eukaryota; Metazoa; Chordata; Mammalia; Chiroptera; Pteropodidae. The record is from RNAcentral.
GUCUAUGGCCAUGCUACCUUGAACAAGCCUGAUCUCGUCUGAUCUUGGAAGUUAAGCAGGGGCGGGCCUGGAUGGGAGACCACCUAGGAAGACCAGACGCUUUAAGUG